AUGAUCUCUAUCCUGUGUGACAUGUGUAAACUGAGACUCAUCGGUGAAUCGAAUGUCAUCCUGUGGCUGUCUCAUAAACGAUGGUCUCCUGUCCUCCAAUUCCUCUCUGAUCAUCAGAUCUAUGGCUACUACUACCAGUAUCAUCAUUACUCUCUCUGGUGUCCGUAUCUUUGUCAGAUAGCUUCUGUACUCUCGAGAGUGGUGCACGUACAACUGUCUUUUUUUU
Molecule: long non-coding RNA, 226 nt
Filed under: Elaeis guineensis (African oil palm)
Lineage: Eukaryota; Viridiplantae; Streptophyta; Magnoliopsida; Arecales; Arecaceae
Description: long non-coding RNA (EGUI_LNC075275)
Source: RNAcentral